Non-coding RNA from Manis javanica (Malayan pangolin), 816 nucleotides. NCBI's taxonomy places the organism in Eukaryota, Metazoa, Chordata, Mammalia, Pholidota, Manidae. The record is from RefSeq and is a predicted model, not a curated record.
UAUAAUUUAUUUGGUCAUUGAGAAUAGUCUCUCAGGCAAAAAUGCUGACAUUUGAGGAUGACUUAGAAAGAAAAGUUUCUGCCUAACGCGAUGGAAAAUAUACGAUGGCUCUGGCGACAGCCGUCCGGCCCAGCGGUGGGCUUGUCUCCCAGUAAAUGGCUGUCAUUUUUAUGUCUUCCUUUAAAGUGACACCUCACAAAGAGCCCCUCGGAACUCGGGACCUUCUCUGGCUUUUUCCUCAUCCUCAGUGUGGGCAGUUGGACUUGGACCUGGGCUUUAGGGAGCAGAAACUGGAUGAAAAUGGACAUGGAGCUCAGGACAGUGGAUGGCUUAACUCAUAUGCUUCCAAAUCAAUUCCAAGAAAAUGAAAGGCAUAUAGAGACUGAGAAGGUUUUUACGGAAGGAUGAUAAAUGAUGAAAGAAGCUAAUCAUUGAAAUUCCAAGUGCCAGAAAGGACACGUUUUCCACGGCGAAUCUGAGCUUCCCUGGGCUGUGCCUGAUCCAGAGGACACUGGGGCCUCCUCCGCAUCAAGGCAGCGGCCCUCAGACAGACUGCUCAAGAAAGUGUGUCCUCCAAAUAUUUUUUCUGCAAGACACUUGUGACAGACAACAAUGACAAGCUCAAACCCAUGACCAGCUCUGAGACUCCAGCUGAAAUCAACCUUCUCUCUCACCACAGUGGGAUGUCAAAAUGCAAGUAACAUCAAUAUUGAAUAACUUUAAAUGUGCUUUAAUCAUUUUAACAAGUAAAUCAUUUACAAUUUUCAGAAGUUGAUUACUAACAAAUUACUACAUCAACUGGUAUGGUACAGAAAU